RNAcentral lists this transfer RNA (75 nucleotides) under Paramuricea clavata. RNAcentral's name for it is "tRNA-Ser". It matches the Rfam family "tRNA". Rfam says of the family: Transfer RNA (tRNA) molecules are approximately 80 nucleotides in length. Lineage: Eukaryota; Metazoa; Cnidaria; Anthozoa; Malacalcyonacea; Plexauridae. The record is from RNAcentral.
GGCUCUGUAGCUAAGUUGGUUAGAGCGCUGCACCGGAAUCGCAGGGCCGUAGGUUCAAUUCCUACCAGAGGACCU